Molecule: ribosomal RNA, 254 nt
Filed under: uncultured bacterium
Lineage: Bacteria
Description: partial 16S ribosomal RNA
Rfam family: Bacterial small subunit ribosomal RNA
Source: RNAcentral
UACGUAGGCAGCAAGCGUUGUUCGGAGUUACUGGGCGUAAAGAGUAUGUAGGCGGUUGCGUAAGUUCGGUGUGAAAUCUCCCGGCUUAACUGGGAGGGUGCGCCGAAAACUGCGUGGCUUGAGUGCGGGAGAGGAGAGCGGAAUUCCUGGUGUAGCGGUGAAAUGCGUAGAUAUCAGGAGGAACACCGGCGGUGUAGACGGCUCGUCUGGACCGUUACUGACGCUGAGAUACGAAAGCGUGGGUAGCAAACAGG